RNAcentral lists this ribosomal RNA (403 nucleotides) under uncultured bacterium. RNAcentral's name for it is "bacterial SSU rRNA". It matches the Rfam family "Bacterial small subunit ribosomal RNA", at positions 355 to 774 of the family's 1533-position model. The record is from RNAcentral.
CAGGGAAUCUUGUCCAAUGGGCGAAAGCCUGAGACAGCGACGCCGCGUGAGGGAUGAAGGCCUUCGGGUUGUAAACCUCUUUCAGGAGGGACGAAUAAUGACGGUACCUCCAGAAGAAGCCCCGGCUAACUACGUGCCAGCAGCCGCGGUAAUACGUAGGGGCGAGCGUUGUCCGGAUUUAUUGGGCGUAAAGGGCUCGUAGGCGGCUCAGCAAGUCGAUCGUGAAAACCCGGGGCUCAACCCCGGGACGCCGGUCGAUACUGCUGUGGCUAGGGUCCGGUAGAGGAGAAUGGAAUUCCCGGUGUAGCGGUGAAAUGCGCAGAUAUCGGGAGGAACACCAGUAGCGAAGGCGGUUCUCUGGGCCGGUACCGACGCUGAGGAGCGAAAGCGUGGGGAGCAAACA